CGCGCCAUGAAAGCACAUCACCAGCAACCAGGAGGCUCAGAGUGAGUGCAGAGAAGUUUUCCUCCUCUCCUUCCUGUGUGAGAGAUGCGGUCAGAGGCUGGCUCAUACAUCCAGCCCGGCUGUUGGUGGCGUGUUGGAACAUGCCUUGACUUGUUGUACUGCCUGACUGAACAGACAGAGAGAGAGAGAGAGGCAGCCACAGGAGGAGAGGCAAGAGGCUGGUGGUCAACAGUUUUUCCAGAGUGAAGUGACCCACACAUCGGGAGAGCCCGUGAACAGACUCCUGUUGAUGCCAACAAGUUGAGUGCACCCGCUGGAGAUCACGCUGGAUGGUGGACCUCUGCUGCUGCCUGGCUAACUGAGCUGCCAGAGCACCACGCCACCCUCGAGGUGAGGGGGGGGGGGCUUUCAGUGUGAGGCCACUGCCUUCCAACAACCACCAACAACACCAUCACCACGAAGCUGGGAAUGGAAAGCGUCAGCAGUGCCAGGCUCGCAGGUGGACACAUGCACCAAAGACCAGUCAGGACCCUGCUGGGGAGAGCAAGCCCGGAGUCGGGUGGUUGGACGCGGCUGCUGUGGGUGUUUCUCUGGCAGUGUCUUAGCUGGUUGUUGUGAGGAGUGAGAAUGAAGCAAUCAGCAAGUAUACUGCCGCAGAAAUUCUUCGCAAUAAGAAGCCCCGGGAUCACAGCUGAGAGGGAGGAAACUGGGAGCUGGCACUGUAAGUUUUCGACCCUCCUAAGAGAAUUAACUGAGAUCGACCGAGCGCACGGCCUCCGCAAUAUUUAGAAAAUGGAUCAAAGCGUCAAACUUCCACACUGUCUGUUGCACUAUCAUGAUCUUCUGCUGCCAUCUUGUGACUGAAAGCAAACCUCCCGGCAUGCUUUUGAUCAAACGCUGCUGCGCCAAUUUGUGAAACCUUUGCCUUUUUUUUUCCUUUUCAUUGAGACAAAACGAAAGCCCUUUCAUUCAGAAAAUACAACUUGGCUUACUAUGACUUUUUUCAGUUGCAAAUGCAUGUUUUUGAUCCCUUAAUUUAAUUUGCUCCAUAGAUAUUUCUGGAUGUAACGCACAAACAAAAAGAAAGUGGAUAUGAUUAAUUCUUGAUUUAUGUGCCUGAUAUUUUAUUUGUGACAUAUUGCUGCUGUAGAAAAGGAGCAUUAUAAAUAAAGUUAGAUAAAUACUGAUUUAUAUAUUUUCCUCUUUCCUUACUUAACACAAGAAUUUUGUAAUAAUGCAAAAGUGUUGCAGAAAGGCCCUUUGGACUACAUUUAAAAAAAGAACACUUUUUAUUUAGUGCAUGAUGAGAAUAUUUCUGUGUGACCAAAGAUGACCUAAUGUGUGCAGAUGAGUCAGGUGCACAUUAAUUUAGGCUUUCUCACACACACACACACACACACACACACACACACACACACACACACACACACACACACACGAUGUUCUUCUGAUUUUUUCUCCACUCUAUCUCAGAAUCUCUCACCGUUAUUGUUGAUGCUCGAUACAAAACAGUGUCUUAAACUGUAUGUCGAUGGUGUGAUUCAGGCGAUAAUGCAGAUGCCGAGUUGGCUGCAGUCUGCAAGGGAAAAAAGACAAAGAAAAAAAACCCCCAAUGUUCUGCUGCACUGCUGCAAACACUAAAACAAGGGGGUUGCAGGUUUUUCUGGGCUGCAGUAAUGCAGAAGCAGUAAAAGUCCUGCUCUGACACAAGGUCACCGCUCCGAGGGCUCUAAACCGUUUUACAUCACACUUCUUUGGUAAACUGCAAAUCACAAGGCCACCAAAGAAUCAUCAGCACUCGGGACAGGAGGCAAGCCAGAUGUUAGUUGUUAGCUUCUCCUUUAUUUCUGUGCACAGUGAACUCGUCGCUAAUAGAAAUGUAAUUUCAGGCAAAAUUAUGCUUUUAUUUAAAAAUGAACUUAUUGCCCCAGAAAGCUGAGAUUCCAACUCUUACUGCAGGAUGAGUUACCGUGAAUUCACUCUUUAAAAAAUUAAUUGGUCCUUUGUCUACAUUUAAAUUCACCCAUGAAGGCUUUUAUAUUCAUGAUCGGGUGUUUUAAAUAACUAGUCAUUUAACCCAUGCUUCAGAUUUAAUCACUUUCACACAUUUGCAGCUUUUUCCCUUUUUUGUAUACCUGAGGAUUAAUACAGGGAGGUUUUGGAUACACAAUUUUAAAUGCUUUUUUUUUUUUUUACCUUGCAAAGAAGAAUGAAGUGAAACCAUGAAAAUAUUUGUUAGAUGCAAUCUAUGUCCUGUAGUUUACAAGAUCAUCAAAUAAUUCAAAUAAAAACAUUUCAAUGUUUCAAUUUUCUGCUGCCCAUCAUGUUCACAGCUGAUGUACUUUUAAAUUAUGUUUUGUUUCGCUUUUAUUUAUUCAGUUCCUCUGUGCUCUUUGAUGACACUUCUGCUUUGGUGCCACCACCUAUUCAUGUGUUUUGAUUGCCU
Molecule: long non-coding RNA, 2446 nt
Organism: Astatotilapia calliptera (eastern happy)
Lineage: Eukaryota; Metazoa; Chordata; Actinopteri; Cichliformes; Cichlidae
Source: Ensembl